RNAcentral lists this ribosomal RNA (947 nucleotides) under Mycobacterium kansasii. RNAcentral's name for it is "bacterial SSU rRNA". It matches the Rfam family "Bacterial small subunit ribosomal RNA", at positions 67 to 1018 of the family's 1533-position model. The record is from RNAcentral. Lineage: Bacteria; Bacillati; Actinomycetota; Actinomycetes; Mycobacteriales; Mycobacteriaceae.
CGGAAAGGCCCUUCGGGGUACUCGAGUGGCGAACGGGUGAGUAACACGUGGGCAAUCUGCCCUGCACACCGGGAUAAGCCUGGGAAACUGGGUCUAAUACCGGAUAGGACCACUUGGCGCAUGCCUUGUGGUGGAAAGCUUUUGCGGUGUGGGAUGGGCCCGCGGCCUAUCAGCUUGUUGGUGGGGUGACGGCCUACCAAGGCGACGACGGGUAGCCGGCCUGAGAGGGUGUCCGGCCACACUGGGACUGAGAUACGGCCCAGACUCCUACGGGAGGCAGCAGUGGGGAAUAUUGCACAAUGGGCGCAAGCCUGAUGCAGCGACGCCGCGUGGGGGAUGACGGCCUUCGGGUUGUAAACCUCUUUCACCAUCGACGAAGGUCCGGGUUGUCUCGGAUUGACGGUAGGUGGAGAAGAAGCACCGGCCAACUACGUGCCAGCAGCCGCGGUAAUACGUAGGGUGCGAGCGUUGUCCGGAAUUACUGGGCGUAAAGAGCUCGUAGGUGGUUUGUCGCGUUGUUCGUGAAAUCUCACGGCUUAACUGUGAGCGUGCGGGCGAUACGGGCAGACUAGAGUACUGCAGGGGAGACUGGAAUUCCUGGUGUAGCGGUGGAAUGCGCAGAUAUCAGGAGGAACACCGGUGGCGAAGGCGGGUCUCUGGGCAGUAACUGACGCUGAGGAGCGAAAGCGUGGGGAGCGAACAGGAUUAGAUACCCUGGUAGUCCACGCCGUAAACGGUGGGUACUAGGUGUGGGUUUCCUUCCUUGGGAUCCGUGCCGUAGCUAACGCAUUAAGUACCCCGCCUGGGGAGUACGGCCGCAAGGCUAAAACUCAAAGGAAUUGACGGGGGCCCGCACAAGCGGCGGAGCAUGUGGAUUAAUUCGAUGCAACGCGAAGAACCUUACCUGGGUUUGACAUGCACAGGACGCGUCUAGAGAUAGCGUCCUU